AGCAUGUAUCAUCAAUCUAGAAGGAUCCAUGUAUCUAUUGAGCAUAGUAUUCCUACAAUCCUUAACCACCAACCUAGACACAUAAGUCACAAACUUACACAUACUUGACCUAUGUCCAACCAUCUACACACAUGAAUAUUUAGACAACUGGUUGAACUUGAGGCAAUACUCUUUCACUGUCAUAGAGCCCUGCCUCAGGUUCAUGAACUCUUCUAUCUUAGCCGCCC
RNAcentral lists this long non-coding RNA (227 nucleotides) under Capsicum annuum. Its description in RNAcentral is "long non-coding RNA (CANN_LNC015540)". The record is from RNAcentral. Lineage: Eukaryota; Viridiplantae; Streptophyta; Magnoliopsida; Solanales; Solanaceae.